This 204-nucleotide ribosomal RNA is filed under the name Escherichia coli. RNAcentral's name for it is "partial 16S ribosomal RNA". It matches the Rfam family "Bacterial small subunit ribosomal RNA", at positions 1 to 210 of the family's 1533-position model. RNAcentral also lists the same sequence under 16 other names. Lineage: Bacteria; Pseudomonadati; Pseudomonadota; Gammaproteobacteria; Enterobacterales; Enterobacteriaceae. The record is from RNAcentral.
AAAUUGAAGAGUUUGAUCAUGGCUCAGAUUGAACGCUGGCGGCAGGCCUAACACAUGCAAGUCGAACGGUAACAGGAAGAAGCUUGCUUCUUUGCUGACGAGUGGCGGACGGGUGAGUAAUGUCUGGGAAACUGCCUGAUGGAGGGGGAUAACUACUGGAAACGGUAGCUAAUACCGCAUAACGUCGCAAGACCAAAGAGGGGG